Molecule: ribosomal RNA, 253 nt
Filed under: uncultured bacterium
Lineage: Bacteria
Description: partial 16S ribosomal RNA
Rfam family: Bacterial small subunit ribosomal RNA
Source: RNAcentral
UACGGAGGUCUCAAGCGUUGUUCGGAUUCAUUGGGCGUAAAGGGUGCGUAGGCGGCGCGGUAAGUCGGGUGUGAAAUCUCGGAGCUUAACUCCGAAACUGCAUUCGAUACUGCCGUGCUUGAGGACUGGAGAGGAGACUGGAAUUUACGGUGUAGCGGUGAAAUGCGUAAAUAUCGUAAGGAAGACCAGUGGCGAAGGCGGGUCUCUGGACAGUUCCUGACGCUGAGGCACGAAGGUCAGGGGAGCAAACGGG